Molecule: ribosomal RNA, 253 nt
Filed under: uncultured bacterium
Lineage: Bacteria
Description: partial 16S ribosomal RNA
Rfam family: Bacterial small subunit ribosomal RNA
Source: RNAcentral
UACGAAGGGGGCUAGCGUUGCUCGGAAUGACUGGGCGUAAAGGGCGCGUAGGCGGCUCAUACAGUCAGAUGUGAAAUUCCUGGGCUUAACCUGGGGGCUGCAUUUGAUACGUGUGGGCUUGAGUGGGGAAGAGGGUCGUGGAAUUCCCAGUGUAGAGGUGAAAUUCGUAGAUAUUGGGAAGAACACCGGUGGCGAAGGCGCUCUGCUAGGCCGCAACUGACACUGAGGGACGAAAGCUAGGGGAGCGAAUGGG